This 456-nucleotide ribosomal RNA is filed under the name uncultured bacterium. RNAcentral's name for it is "bacterial SSU rRNA". It matches the Rfam family "Bacterial small subunit ribosomal RNA", at positions 329 to 803 of the family's 1533-position model. The record is from RNAcentral.
UGGCUAACUCCUACGGGAGGCAGCAGUGGGGAAUAUUGCACAAUGGGGGAAACCCUGAUGCAGCAACGCCGCGUGAGUGAUGACGGCCUUCGGGUUGUAAAGCUCUGUCUUCAGGGACGAUAAUGACGGUACCUGAGGAGGAAGCCACGGCUAACUACGUGCCAGCAGCCGCGGUAAUACGUAGGUGGCGAGCGUUGUCCGGAUUUACUGGGCGUAAAGGGAGCGUAGGCGGACUUUUAAGUGAGAUGUGAAAUACCCGGGCUCAACUUGGGUGCUGCAUUUCAAACUGGAAGUCUAGAGUGCAGGAGAGGAGAAUGGAAUUCCUAGUGUAGCGGUGAAAUGCGUAGAGAUUAGGAAGAACACCAGUGGCGAAGGCGAUUCUCUGGACUGUAACUGACGCUGAGGCUCGAAAGCGUGGGGAGCAAACAGGAUUAGAAACCCCGGUAGUCCAGCUGG